AGCAGCCGCGGUAAUUCCAGCUCCAAUAGCGUAUAUUAAAGUUGUUGCAGUUAAAAAGCUCGUAGUUGAAUUUCGGGGUUAGUAGGUUGGUCAUGCCUCUGGUAUGUACUGGUCUCACUGAUUCCUCCUUCCUGAUGAACCUUAAUGCCAUUUAUUUGGUGUUUUGGGGAAUUUGGACUGUUACUUUGAAAAAAUUAGAGUGUUUAAAGCAAGCUAACGCUUGAAUACAUUAGCAUGGAAUAAUGAAAUAGGACGUUCGAUCCUAUUUUGUUGGUUUCUAGGAUUGACGUAAUGAUUAAUAGGGAUAGUUGGGGGCAUUAGUAUUCAAUUGUCAGAGGUGAAAUUCUUGGAUUUAUUGAAGACUAACUACUGCGAAAGCAUUUGCCAAGGAUGUUUUCAUUAAUCAAGAACGAAAGUUAGGGGAUCGAAGACGAUCAGAUACCGUCGUAGUCUUAACCAUAAACUAUGCCGACUAGGGAUCGGAUGAUGUUAAUUUUUUAAUGUACUCAUUCGGCGCCUU
RNAcentral lists this ribosomal RNA (520 nucleotides) under uncultured Glomus. RNAcentral describes it as "SSU rRNA". It matches the Rfam family "Eukaryotic small subunit ribosomal RNA", at positions 569 to 1089 of the family's 1831-position model. The record is from RNAcentral. Lineage: Eukaryota; Fungi; Glomeromycota; Glomeromycetes; Glomerales; Glomeraceae.